Molecule: ribosomal RNA, 731 nt
Filed under: Paenibacillus sp. L1931
Lineage: Bacteria; Bacillati; Bacillota; Bacilli; Caryophanales; Paenibacillaceae
Description: bacterial SSU rRNA
Rfam family: Bacterial small subunit ribosomal RNA
Source: RNAcentral
GCUGGCGGCGUGCCUAAUACAUGCAAGUCGAGCGGAGUCAUUUUGAAAGCUUGCUUUCAAAAUGACUUAGCGGCGGACGGGUGAGUAACACGUAGGCAACCUGCCCCUUAGACUGGGAUAACUACCGGAAACGGUAGCUAAUACCGGAUAAUUUCUUUUUUCUCCUGAAGAAAGAAUGAAAGACGGAGCAAUCUGUCACUGAGGGAUGGGCCUGCGGCGCAUUAGCUAGUUGGUGGGGUAACGGCCCACCAAGGCGACGAUGCGUAGCCGACCUGAGAGGGUGAACGGCCACACUGGGACUGAGACACGGCCCAGACUCCUACGGGAGGCAGCAGUAGGGAAUCUUCCGCAAUGGACGAAAGCCUGACGGAGCAACGCCGCGUGAGUGAUGAAGGUUUUCGGAUCGUAAAGCUCUGUUGCCAGGGAAGAACGUCCGGUAGAGUAACUGCUAUCGGAGUGACGGUACCUGAGAAGAAAGCCCCGGCUAACUACGUGCCAGCAGCCGCGGUAAUACGUAGGGGGCAAGCGUUGUCCGGAAUUAUUGGGCGUAAAGCGCGCGCAGGCGGUCAUUUAAGUCUGGUGUUUAAACCUUGGGCUCAACCUGAGGUCGCACUGGAAACUGGGUGACUUGAGUACAGAAGAGGAAAGUGGAAUUCCACGUGUAGCGGUGAAAUGCGUAGAUAUGUGGAGGAACACCAGUGGCGAAGGCGACUUUCUGGGCUGUAACUGAC